Molecule: ribosomal RNA, 259 nt
Filed under: uncultured bacterium
Lineage: Bacteria
Description: partial 16S ribosomal RNA
Rfam family: Bacterial small subunit ribosomal RNA
Source: RNAcentral
GUACCUACGGGGGGCAGCAGUAGGGAAUCUUCCACAAUGGACGAAAGUCUGAUGGAGCAACGCCGCGUGAGUGAAGAAGGGAUUCGGCUCGUAAAGCUCUGUUGGUAGUGAAGAAAGAUAGAGGUAGUAAAUGGCCUUUAUUUGACGGUAAUUACUUAGAAAGUCAAGGGUAACUAAGUGCCAGCAGCCGCGGUAAUACGUAGGUGGAAAGCGUUGUCCGGGUGUAUUGGGCGUAAAGCGAGAGCAGGCGGGUCAAUAA